Molecule: long non-coding RNA, 216 nt
Filed under: Volvox carteri
Lineage: Eukaryota; Viridiplantae; Chlorophyta; Chlorophyceae; Chlamydomonadales; Volvocaceae
Description: long non-coding RNA (VCAR_LNC000651)
Source: RNAcentral
UUAGUCCUGACGCCUGCUCAACAAACUCUUAACAACUCACCGAAUCUACAAGAACGCUUCCUUAACUGAGCCAUGUUGCGUAUCGAGCCACAUUGCGUAUGUAAUGAGCAGUAGGAACGAGAUACGGAUAUUUACGUAGCGGAAAUGAUUUCACAGUUUGAAUCGGCUAGUUGGUUCUUGACAACCAAAUGUCCGCCUACACGGAACUAACCGGAG